This 253-nucleotide long non-coding RNA is filed under the name Nicotiana benthamiana. RNAcentral describes it as "long non-coding RNA (NBEN_LNC027459)". Lineage: Eukaryota; Viridiplantae; Streptophyta; Magnoliopsida; Solanales; Solanaceae. The record is from RNAcentral.
CAUCCCCCAUAACCAUCACCCGAGAAGGGGGUGGGGACAAGAGAUACCCCGGGAACAUCGAAGGAGUAUAGAAAUAGAGGACUGCUAGAGUCCAAAAGACCGGUAUUGGUAUUGACAGCCAUGACACAUCAACAAAGAAAACAGGUUCAACAACCAGAGUGUAACAAAUCAAGUAACCACACACAAAGCCAACUACUCAGAUACAAAACCAAUUCUGACACACAAAUCAGGUAAUAUUGAAUUUUAAGACAAA